AGAAACUGAGUCUCCAGGAAGUUAAGUGACUUGCCCAAGAUCCAUGGAGCUGGGAUUCAAGCCUGGAUCUGCCUGAACCUUUCUGCCAAGACACGGAAUAGGAUCUCUCAUGGCUCUUGAGGAUGUGAUGGAUGGCUGUGAGGGCACAGAGGAGGCUCCCAUCUGGGCGAAUGACAACUAUAGGAUUUUCAUAUAAGUGGAACCAGGUCAGUCUGUGAAGGUCUUUAGAGGCUGCUCUGGGAUCCUGCCUUCUACUCCUCUGGCCAACAUAUGCCAAGGACCCAGAAGAAGAUGCAGAGGGUGCAGACCUGUAACAAUAGGAGGCGGUAGAACAAAAUGAAAGUGCAGAGAAAAGCUCGGAUAGCAGGAUCGGGAUCCAGAAAAUUCUCCAUAUGCUGGAGUGACAAAGUGAAUUUAGCAUGAUGAAAUGUCACAGGGAUGAAUGCUGGGGCCUAUCUCGACUACAGGAAAGAAUUGUAGAGAGGGACAGCAGCACAUGAGAAAGAGAUCUAGGAGUUCAAGGGCCGCUGUUGUAUAUUGAGCUGGGGGUUGUAAAAGGAGGAGUAAGAGAAGAAAGACGAUGAGGAGACAUUGGCCAGCUCCGAGGAGUGGGCAUCCCACCUGGCAAGAUGGAACAAGACACUGAUCCCUGACUAAGAGCUGCCUGGGGAUAGAUUGAGUCACCUGUCCUGUGUGGUCCCUGGGACAGUGAUUGAGCCAGUUCGAGAAUAUUGCGAAGAGGCCGAUGUUGGCUCUGUUCAAGGAAGAAGUUUGCAACAAUCGCAGAUGUUUCAAUCAUGAAAGGGGCAGUAAAAGAAUUCUAGUCUCCAGAGGCCUCAAGCAGAGUGUGGACCUGUUGGGGAGGCUUCGGAAGGGUGCUGGUCUCCAGAGGUGUCAUCGUGGUUUUCUGGAGUUCCAUGAGCCCCGAGAAGGGGCUCUUCGGCUACCCCACUGCCUAGAGGUGGCAUGGCUUCCUUGCAGCCUGUCGCCUGGCUUAUACUGCGCGUCCUCAGCCCAAGAAUACUCUGGACGCUUGAAAUGAACAGUCGGUGAAGGUGAGAUGCGAACACAUAAAUAUCCUCAUUAAAUCCCAAAUACACAUCCCAAACUUUACAUAACAGGAGCAGCAGCUGGAGACGCCCACAGCCCUAAUUGCUUUUCUGUACUAAGAGAACGUCCUCUCUCCAGCUCCGCUUCUUCCAUUCAUUUAGGUAAUUACUGGAGGGAGCCAGCUGCGGCAGAGUGGCGGGCAGGCGGGCGGGUUUGCAACACCCCUCGUGGGUGCCGCCACGAGGAUGGGAUGCUGCGGGGCGCGGGAACCGCUCUCCUCUCUUCCUGGGGAGCGAGACCUGAGGCUGGGAGGUCAUCCGCUCAGCAUCUGUCCUGCUCCUCAGGAGCCCAGACUGAGCUGCUGGGGACAGGAGGCAUCGCCUCCCAGAGACCUGAUAGCACGAUUCAGGGCAGUGGGAAGGACCCAGGGCCGGGUAUAGGCAUGGUGAUAGAAAUGCUUGGCAGAAACUCCAUUCAACAAAUUGGAUCUUCUCUGAAUCUCGUGCUGGGCUGGGGACACUGAGACAGAUGGAUCAGCCUCGGUCCCUGCCCUCAGAGCUCCCAGCCCCCGGAAAGGAGGCAACUGUGCACAGGAAAGGGCUGGCAUCCAGGUAGGUUUUCAGGACAGGGGUACCAAGGAUGGGGCGAUGCUGGACUCCGUCUUGGGAAAGAGGGUCAGAGAAGACUUCUUGGAAUAAGAGGCAGUAGUGUUGGGCCUUAGAGGUGAGCAUGACCCCAGGAAGAAAGAACUAUUUCAAUUCUGUGUCCCCUUCUGCAACAUGGGGCCAAGGUCAUGGUGGACAUCAGGCCCCAGAGUGACGUCUAACUUGUCCCCUUGGCUCCCAGCCUCUAUAACCAUCCAGGACUCUUGAAGACUCUCUUGAGGUUUCUUUGCAUUCCAAGCAUGGUGCUCUCAGCUGGGAGCUGUCCUGGAUGCUGGACCGGGUGGUUGGCCAUAGCGGACGCCCUGGAUCAAUACGUAGGGCUUAAGCCCUUCUUGGAGGGGCUCGGGGGAGGGCUGUGGCCCAGGCGCUCUGCCCACCAGGCUUCCCGUGGGUGGCAAGUGAAACUUUUCUUCCUGGUUCUCUCCCGGCAGCCAGCUCCAUUCCCCCAGCCCCAAGUGGCGGCUCCUUGGGCCGGAAACAAUGUGCUUUCUCCACGCCUGGGAGUGGAAGUCAGCAGUUUGGCACCGUCUGGCUGGCAGCCUCCACCGGCUUCCUUUGGCACUUUAUUGGCAAAGGCGGUGACAUUUCUUUCAGUUGGGUGGGUGGAGCUGUUAUGCAAACUCCCGCUCUCCUCAUUCGCCAGAUGAAUAUUCAUGACUCAGGCAAUCUGUACCAGCCAGACUUCCCUGAGGGCGGCAGCUUUUCUUCUCUUCCCCUCUCUCUUUUUCUUUCUCCUUCUCUCCUUCCCAGCUCUUCGGAAAGCUGGAGUGCAGCUAUAUUUAAUUUACAAAUACGGAGCUCUUUAGCUUGCCUUUUGAGGUGCAGGCUUUAGGAAGGAGGUGCUGGGGUUGGGAACAGUGGUUGAAGCAUGGGGUCUCUGACCUUGGGCCUUCAGGGUUCAGCCUCUGGGGCCCCAGCUCCUGGGGAGCUCCUGGGUCUGGGGCUCCCUUUGGGCUUGGCGGUCUGGGUGCCCACACGCCUAAAGGGACAGCAGCCUGUGUCACCUUAUUCCAUGGUGGCCCCCGAGGUCAACAUGGACUUUCUGAGGGACAGUUUUUUUUUCUGCUCUGUGCAUGUAUGUCGCUGCUCCCUGGACCCCUGCCUCCCAUGCUCUCCCCUUUGUCAAGGUGCACCCAGACCCCGCUUCAAGCCCCAGACCAAAGCCUGGAAGGCAGUGAGUGGGGCCUCUGCUCAUCACUGCUUUCCUAGAGAAGCAACGGAUGCCUCCUUCGGGUCCAAAACCGGGGGGACACACCUGCUCCCUUUCUGAGAAAGAUGGCUCACUGGCUUCCUUUGUCUCUUCCCAAAGAGGCACCAGGAACCCCGGCAGAGGGGUCAGCAUUUCCAGAAUUUGCCAGGGAAUUUGGUCUCAGCAAGGAUGUGCUCGUGUAUGGCUUGUGUGUGUGUGUGUGUGUAUGUAAAUAUUUACGCACAGCUUAAGUGAGUCUGUAUGCCUACAUCUAUGUUCAAGUGUUUGAGUGUGUGUCUGUAUGUGUAAGGGCGUGAAUGUGUGUGUGGCGGGAAGUCUGGGAAUGUCUACAUGUGUGAAUGUGCCGCUCCAGUUAGCGUGGCGUGUGGAUCUCUGUGGGUCGGGGAGGGUUGUGGGUGAGGGUGCUCCUGGGGGUGCCGAGGCUUGUGUGUGUGCAUGUGUUAUGUGUAAGUGAGUUGUAGGUGUGCA
Molecule: non-coding RNA, 3393 nt
Organism: Sus scrofa (pig)
Lineage: Eukaryota; Metazoa; Chordata; Mammalia; Artiodactyla; Suidae
Source: RefSeq, a predicted model, not a curated record